Molecule: ribosomal RNA, 570 nt
Filed under: Pichia kudriavzevii
Lineage: Eukaryota; Fungi; Ascomycota; Pichiomycetes; Pichiales; Pichiaceae
Description: eukaryotic LSU rRNA
Rfam family: Eukaryotic large subunit ribosomal RNA (bases 83-570)
Source: RNAcentral
GCGAAGCUGGCCGAGCGAACUAGACUUUUUUUUCAGGGACGCUUGGCGGCCGAGAGCGAGUGUUGCGAGACAACAAAAAGCUCGACCUCAAAUCAGGUAGGAAUACCCGCUGAACUUAAGCAUAUCAAUAAGCGGAGGAAAAGAAACCAACAGGGAUUGCCUCAGUAGCGGCGAGUGAAGCGGCAAGAGCUCAGAUUUGAAAUCGUGCUUUGCGGCACGAGUUGUAGAUUGCAGGUUGGAGUCUGUGUGGAAGGCGGUGUCCAAGUCCCUUGGAACAGGGCGCCCAGGAGGGUGAGAGCCCCGUGGGAUGCCGGCGGAAGCAGUGAGGCCCUUCUGACGAGUCGAGUUGUUUGGGAAUGCAGCUCCAAGCGGGUGGUAAAUUCCAUCUAAGGCUAAAUACUGGCGAGAGACCGAUAGCGAACAAGUACUGUGAAGGAAAGAUGAAAAGCACUUUGAAAAGAGAGUGAAACAGCACGUGAAAUUGUUGAAAGGGAAGGGUAUUGCGCGAGAGAAAAGGGGAUUGCGCACCGCUGCCUCUCGUGGGCGGCGCUCUGGGCUUUCCCUGGGCCA